GACGAACGCUGGCGGCGUGCUUAACACAUGCAAGUCGAACGGAUCAGCGGAGCUUGCUCUGCUGGUUAGUGGCGAACGGGUGAGUAACACGUGAGCAAUCUGCCCCUGACUCUGGGAUAACUGCGGGAAACUGUAGCUAAUACCGGAUAUGACGACCGACGGCAUCGUCUGGUUGUGGAAAGAAUUUUGGUCAGGGAUGAGCUCGCGGCCUAUCAGCUUGUUGGUGAGGUAAUGGCUCACCAAGGCGACGACGGGUAGCCGGCCUGAGAGGGUGACCGGCCACACUGGGACUGAGACACGGCCCAGACUCCUACGGGAGGCAGCAGUGGGGAAUAUUGCACAAUGGGCGGAAGCCUGAUGCAGCAACGCCGCGUGAGGGACGACGGCCUCGGUUGUAAC
RNAcentral lists this ribosomal RNA (399 nucleotides) under uncultured bacterium. RNAcentral's name for it is "bacterial SSU rRNA". It matches the Rfam family "Bacterial small subunit ribosomal RNA", at positions 28 to 429 of the family's 1533-position model. The record is from RNAcentral.